UACGUAGGGGGCAAGCGUUGUCCGGAUUUAUUGGGCGUAAAGAGCGUGUAGGCGGCCAGGUAGGUCCGUUGUGAAAUCUCCAGGCUCAACCUGGAGGGGUCAUUCGAUACUGCCAUGACUAGAGGUCGGUAGGGGAGUGUGGAAUUCCUGGUGGAGCGGUGAAAUGCGCAGAUAUCAGGAGGAACACCUGUGGCGAAAGCGGCUCACUGGACCAUAACUGACGCUGAUGCACGAAAGCUAGGGGAGCAAACAGG
Molecule: ribosomal RNA, 254 nt
Filed under: uncultured bacterium
Lineage: Bacteria
Description: partial 16S ribosomal RNA
Rfam family: Bacterial small subunit ribosomal RNA
Source: RNAcentral